RNAcentral lists this ribosomal RNA (102 nucleotides) under uncultured bacterium. Its description in RNAcentral is "partial 16S ribosomal RNA". It matches the Rfam family "Bacterial small subunit ribosomal RNA", at positions 1380 to 1482 of the family's 1533-position model. The record is from RNAcentral.
CUUGUACACACCGCCCGUCACACCAUGGGAGCGGGUUUCACCAGAAGUAGCUAGCCUAACCGCAAGGAGGGCGGUUACCACGGUGAGAUUCGUGACUGGGUG